RNAcentral lists this ribosomal RNA (440 nucleotides) under uncultured bacterium. Its description in RNAcentral is "partial 16S ribosomal RNA". It matches the Rfam family "Bacterial small subunit ribosomal RNA", at positions 338 to 795 of the family's 1533-position model. The record is from RNAcentral.
CCUACGGGAGGCAGCAGUGGGGGAUAUUGCACAAUGGGGGGAACCCUGAUGCAGCGACGCCGCGUGGGUGAAGAAGCGCCUCGGCGCGUAAAGCCCUGUCAGCAGGGAAGAAAAUGACGGUACCUGAAGAAGAAGCCCCGGCUAACUACGUGCCAGCAGCCGCGGUAAUACGUAGGGGGCAAGCGUUAUCCGGAUUUACUGGGUGUAAAGGGGGCGCAGACGGCGAUGCAAGCCAGGAGUGAAAGCCCGGGGGCCAACCCCGGGACUGCGCUUGGAACUGCGUGGCUGGAGUGCAGGAGGGGCAGGCGGAAUUCCUGGUGUAGCGGUGAAAUGCGUAGAUAUCAGGAGGAACACCGGUGGCGAAGGCGGCCUGCUGGACUGCAACUGACGUUGAGGCCCGAAAGCGUGGGGAGCAAACAGGAUUAGAUACCCGGGUAGUC